Molecule: ribosomal RNA, 445 nt
Filed under: uncultured bacterium
Lineage: Bacteria
Description: partial 16S ribosomal RNA
Rfam family: Bacterial small subunit ribosomal RNA
Source: RNAcentral
GUAGGGAAUAUUGGGCAAUGGAUGGAAGUCUGACCCAGCCAUCCCGCGUGCCGGAAGACGGCCCUCAGGGUUGUAAACGGCUUUUGACGGUGAAGAAUAGGCGGGAUGCGUCCUGUUUUGACGGUAGCCGUUGAAUAAGCACCGGCUAACUCCGUGCCAGCAGCCGCGGUAAUACGGAGGGUGCGAGCGUUGUCCGGAUUUAUUGGGUUUAAAGGGUGCGUAGGCUGGGAGGUAAGUCAGCGGUGAAAAGCACACGCGUAACGGGUGUCUUGCCGCAGAUACUACUUUUCUUGGAUGAGGAGGAGGUCACUGGAACGGAUGGUGUAGCGGUGAAAUGCAUAGAUAUCAUCCAGAACACCGAUUGCGAAGGCAGGUGACUGUACCUUAAUCGACGCUGAGGCACGAAAGCGUGGGGAGCGAACAGGAUUAGAUACCCGGGUAGUCC